This is a long non-coding RNA of Lathyrus oleraceus (garden pea), 585 nucleotides long. RefSeq lists it as uncharacterized. The record is from RefSeq and is a predicted model, not a curated record. NCBI's taxonomy places the organism in Eukaryota, Viridiplantae, Streptophyta, Magnoliopsida, Fabales, Fabaceae. The transcript has 2 exons.
GUUAAAAUUGUAUUUGAAGCUUUUCAUUUCUUAUUUUUGUUGGCUUUUUUGUAAGACAUGUGUUCUACUGUGGUUUAAAGGUAAAUUUGGGAUUCUAUAAGAAUUAAGUGUAGAUUUAUAAUGAAGUGUACAUUUGUUAUAUUCAAUUCAAUAGGCUAUAUAGUUAUGACAUUUGUUGCGAUCCAAUUCAAUAGGCUAUAUAAUACAGUCAUGACAUUUGUUAGCUACCAAAUCAGUAAUCGAGAAGGGAUGUAAUACUUCUUAAUAUAUAGUGAAGUGCCAAGGAGCUUAUCUUCCCACUUGAUUAAUCUCAAGGUCUAGUCUUGUGAAUGGAGAUAACAGCAAUGGAUAGUUUGUUGUGGCAUGAUGGGAGAACUUUGUCAUCUUAAGUGGUUUGACUUGGUUUGACUUAUAUUAGUUGGAGUUUGAUGUUGUGACUUGAUGUAUAUAUUUAUGGCUAUUACUUUGGCCAAAUUGAUUACAAUUAUUUAAAUUUAUGUGUGUUGGGAAUUUUAGUGUAAUCUGUGCCUGUUACCCGUGGAUGUAUGUGGAGAAUUGGCAAUUUGUUGUUUCUUGCAAAACUUA